RNAcentral lists this long non-coding RNA (229 nucleotides) under Elaeis guineensis (African oil palm). RNAcentral describes it as "long non-coding RNA (EGUI_LNC027481)". Lineage: Eukaryota; Viridiplantae; Streptophyta; Magnoliopsida; Arecales; Arecaceae. The record is from RNAcentral.
UGGGAGGCAAAAGUAUCGAAGGUUGUGUUCUUGGCACAGCCCCCAAAGCUCCUGGAUCUCCACUUAACUCACCUUGCAUUAUCAAAAUAUUAACUAAUGAAGUUUCAGCAUUUUUUUACAGCAACCACCUCUUGAAUCUUUACACAUAUAGCUUCAUGGCUCUUGCUAGGUUCUUCAUUCAGCACUUCAUCUCCUUACAUGGUAGAUUUUGAGUAGCAUAUGUCACCAC